UACAGAGGGUGCGAGCGUUAAUCGGAAUUACUGGGCGUAAAGUGCACGUAGGCGGCUUGGUAUGUCGGGUGUGAAAUCCCCGGGCUCAACCUGGGAACUGCAUCCGAAACUGCCUUGCUCGAGUAUGGGAGAGGGAAGUGGAAUUUCCGGUGUAGCGGUGAAAUGCGUAGAUAUCGGAAGGAACAUCAGUGGCGAAGGCGACUUCCUGGACCAAUACUGACGCUCAGGUGCGAAAGCGUGGGGAGCAAACAGG
RNAcentral lists this ribosomal RNA (253 nucleotides) under uncultured bacterium. RNAcentral describes it as "partial 16S ribosomal RNA". It matches the Rfam family "Bacterial small subunit ribosomal RNA", at positions 524 to 776 of the family's 1533-position model. The record is from RNAcentral.